GAAUUGUUCGCAAUGGGCGCAAGCCUGACGACGCAACGCCGCGUGGAGGAUGAAGACUUUCGGGUCGUAAACUCCUUUCGACCGAGAUGAAUUCCCGCCGGCCUAACAAGCCGGCGGGGUGACAGUAUCGAGGGAAGAAGCCCCGGCUAACUCCGUCCCAGCCGCCGCGGGAAUACGGGGGGGGCAAGCGUUGUUCGGAAUUACUGGGCGUAAAGGGUUCGUAGGUGGCCAACUAAGUCAGACGUGAAAUCCCUCAGCUUAACUGGGGAACUGCGUCUGAGACUGGAUGGCUCGAGUGCAGGAGAGGAACGCGGAAUUCCAGGUGUAGCGGUGAAAUGCGUAGAUAUCUGGAGGAACACCGGUGGCGAAGGCGGCGUUCUGGACUGCAACUGACACUGAGGAACGAAAGCCAGGGGAGCAAACGGG
RNAcentral lists this ribosomal RNA (426 nucleotides) under uncultured bacterium. RNAcentral's name for it is "bacterial SSU rRNA". It matches the Rfam family "Bacterial small subunit ribosomal RNA", at positions 359 to 776 of the family's 1533-position model. The record is from RNAcentral.